This 497-nucleotide ribosomal RNA is filed under the name uncultured bacterium. Its description in RNAcentral is "partial 16S ribosomal RNA". It matches the Rfam family "Bacterial small subunit ribosomal RNA", at positions 28 to 507 of the family's 1533-position model. The record is from RNAcentral.
GAUGAACGCUGGCGGCGUGCCUAAUACAUGCAAGUCGAGCGAACGGACGAGAAGCUUGCUCCUCUGACGUUAGCGGCGGACGGGUGAGUAACACGUGGAUAACCUACCUAUAAGACUGGGAUAACUUCGGGAAACCGGAGCUAAUACCGGAUAAUAUAUUGAACCGCAUGGUUCAAUAGUGAAAGACGGUCUUGCUGUCACUUAUAGAUGGAUCCGCGCUGCAUUAGCUAGUUGGUAAGGUAACGGCUUACCAAGGCAACGAUGCGUAGCCGACCUGAGAGGGUGAUCGGCCACACUGGAACUGAGACACGGUCCAGACUCCUACGGGAGGCAGCAGUAGGGAAUCUUCCGCAAUGGGCGAAAGCCUGACGGAGCAACGCCGCGUGAGUGAUGAAGGUCUUCGGAUCGUAAAACUCUGUUAUUAGGGAAGAACAUAUGUGUAAGUAACUGUGCACGUCUUGACGGUACCUAAUCAGAAAGCCACGGCUAACUACGUG